This 498-nucleotide ribosomal RNA is filed under the name uncultured bacterium. RNAcentral describes it as "partial 16S ribosomal RNA". It matches the Rfam family "Bacterial small subunit ribosomal RNA", at positions 30 to 523 of the family's 1533-position model. The record is from RNAcentral.
AUUGAACGCUGGCGGCAUGCCUUACACAUGCAAGUCGAACGGUAACAGGUCUUCGGAUGCUGACGAGUGGCGAACGGGUGAGUAAUACAUCGGAACGUGCCUAGUAGUGGGGGAUAACUACUCGAAAGAGUGGCUAAUACCGCAUGAGAUCUACGGAUGAAAGCAGGGGAUCGCAAGACCUUGUGCUACUAGAGCGGCCGAUGGCAGAUUAGGUAGCUGGUGGGAUAAAAGCUUACCAAGCCGACGAACUGUAGCUGGGCUGAGAGGACGAUCAGCAACACUGGGACUGAGACACGGCCCAGACUCCUACGGGAGGCAGCAGUGGGGAAUUUUGGACAAUGGGCGCAAGCCUGAUCCAGCAAUGCCGCGUGCAGGAUGAAGGCCUUCGGGUUGUAAACUGCUUUUGUACGGAACGAAAAGCCCUGGGUUAAUACCCUGGGGUCAUGACGGUACCGUAAGAAUAAGCACCGGCUAACUACGUGCCAGCCGCCGCCGUAA